GACGAACGCUGGCGGCGUGCUUAACACAUGCAAGUCGAACGGAAAGGCCCUGCUUUUGUGGGGUGCUCGAGUGGCGAACGGGUGAGUAACACGUGAGUAACCUGCCCUUGACUUUGGGAUAACUUCAGGAAACUGGGGCUAAUACCGGAUAUGAGCUCCUGCUGCAUGGUGGGGGUUGGAAAGUUUCGGCGGUUGGGGAUGGACUCGCGGCUUAUCCGCUUGUUGGUGGGGUAGUGGCUUACCAAGGCUUUGACGGGUAGCCGGCCUGGGAGGGUGACCGGCCACAUUGGGACUGAGAUACGGACCAGACGCCUACGGGAGGCAGCAGGGGGGAAUAUUGCGCAAUGGGGGGAAGCCUGAUGCAGCAACGCCGCGUGCGGGAUGACGGCCUUCGGGUUGUAAACCGCUUUCGCCUGUGACGAAGCGUGAGUGACGGUAAUGGGUAAAGAAGCACCGGCUAACUACGUG
This 468-nucleotide ribosomal RNA is filed under the name uncultured bacterium. RNAcentral's name for it is "partial 16S ribosomal RNA". It matches the Rfam family "Bacterial small subunit ribosomal RNA", at positions 28 to 507 of the family's 1533-position model. The record is from RNAcentral.